AUGCGGAGGGUCCAAGCGUUAUCCGGAAUCAUUGGGUUUAAAGGGUCCGCAGGCGGUCAAUUAAGUCAGAGGUGAAAGCCCAUCGCUCAACGAUGGAACUGCCUUUGAUACUGGUUGACUUGAGUUAUACGGAAGUAGAUAGAAUAAGUAGUGUAGCGGUGAAAUGCAUAGAUAUUACUUAGAAUACCGAUUGCGAAGGCAGUCUACUACGUAUAUACUGACGCUGAGGGACGAAAGCGUGGGGAGCGAACAGGAUUAGAAACCCUAGUAGUCC
Molecule: ribosomal RNA, 274 nt
Filed under: uncultured bacterium
Lineage: Bacteria
Description: partial 16S ribosomal RNA
Rfam family: Bacterial small subunit ribosomal RNA
Source: RNAcentral